This 490-nucleotide ribosomal RNA is filed under the name uncultured bacterium. RNAcentral describes it as "partial 16S ribosomal RNA". It matches the Rfam family "Bacterial small subunit ribosomal RNA", at positions 30 to 507 of the family's 1533-position model. The record is from RNAcentral.
AUUGAACGCUGGCGGCAGGCUUAACACAUGCAAGUCGAGCGGUAGCACAGGGGAGCUUGCUCCCUGGGUGACGAGCGGCGGACGGGUGAGUAAUGUCUGGGAAACUGCCUGAUGGAGGGGGAUAACUACUGGAAACGGUAGCUAAUACCGCAUAACGUCGCAAGACCAAAGAGGGGGACCUUCGGGCCUCUUGCCAUCAGAUGUGCCCAGAUGGGAUUAGCUAGUAGGUGGGGUAAUGGCUCACCUAGGCGACGAUCCCUAGCUGGUCUGAGAGGAUGACCAGACACACUGGAACUGAGACACGGUCCAGACUCCUACGGGAGGCAGCAGUGGGGAAUAUUGCACAAUGGGCGCAAGCCUGAUGCAGCCAUGCCGCGUGUGUGAAGAAGGCCUUCGGGUUGUAAAGCACUUUCAGCGAGGAGGAAGGUGGUGAACUUAAUACGUUCAUCAAUUGACGUUACUCGCAGAAGAAGCACCGGCUAACUCCGUG